RNAcentral lists this transfer RNA (56 nucleotides) under Dipodomys ordii (Ord's kangaroo rat). The record is from Rfam by way of RNAcentral. Lineage: Eukaryota; Metazoa; Chordata; Mammalia; Rodentia; Heteromyidae.
GGGAAGUUGGCUCAGUGGUAGAGUGCUUGCCUUGCAUGCAUGAGGGUCAAUUCCUA